UGUGACUACCAUUUCCUAUUACAAUCAUUUGACCCAGCCUGGCUCUCAUUUUUCUAUGCUCAAAGGAAAUCAGAAAGUUUGAGUGAAAUUUCUGUCACCAAAACUCAAAAUGGUCUCACUGACAAGCUGGAUUCCUGUCUACAUAACUGUUCUUCUUCACUUACAUAUCUGGAAAGCAAGGGUUCAUGCCUCUGGAACAUCUGAAGAGGAUGGAGUAGAUAUCACAUACGUUAUCAUAGGAGUUACUCUUGGAGCCAUUUUAGCUAUUGGUUUUAUAGCAUUAAAGAUCUGUAUGAUCAAAAGACAAUUGAUUGACAAUAUCCUUGGAGGUCACAGCAAGGAUCAAGUGGGAACAGAGAAGCCACCUUACCGAAAACAGAAAAUACAAAUGAUCUCUAACUGUUUUGAAAUGGGGUGCAUUCAGGCAGAAAGUCACAUACUGCUGUGCCUAUUCUAUUACUCAAUGGAAGGCUUUUGUUCGUGGACUUUUGUUGCUUUCUCAUCAGGUACAAAUUCAGUUACUUAAAAAAUUGGAGGGAGUAACUGAUUUCAGGAAAGACUUUGUUGUGUGAUCUACUGAAGAUCAUUUGCACUCAGAAAAUGCUGUGCUCGUAAAUAGCAGAUGUCUAAAGGAAAUGUAUAAUGGAAAUACAAGAGAUGAACUUUGUUCAAAGCAGCUUUCAUAUAUGGCUGUAAUAGGUAUAAGAUGUAUUUGUAAAACAAUGAACUAAAGGGUGAUCCAAAACUAGAGAUGGGCUCAGCUUGCAAAAUUCAGAUUUCAAGUACAAGUAAGCAAAAAAGUUGAACUUUUCAUGUUGACAGCAAACAGAAAAAACAGGAAAAAUAUAAAUCCUGGAUGAAACCAAAACAGAAAAUUUUCUGGUUUUACAGUGAAACAGACAAAAAGGCAGAAUUGUUUUAUGCCAUGCUGCAACAUUUCACUCAAUGCAAAAGAAGCUGUUUUGCUUAUUCUUUCACGGUUUUUCUUGAUUUCUAAGAUGAAACAUUUAGUUUUGGAAACCUUGAAACAAAAUGUUUUGACAUUUUAAACCCCACCCCCAUUUGCACAGUUCAAUCCAAAAUCAUAAAGAGUCCUCCCUUCCACCAGCUGCCAACACCAUUUUUAGCAAAUUUAUUUUUCAUAAAACUUUUUUUCUGGAUCGAAGUUCAAGCACUUUAAAGAUACUUGACAAGGAAAGAAAUCAGAGGUUUGGCUUAAACCUUUGAAAAUGCAGGGACCAUUUGCAAAAUUUUGCUUCAGGUUUAAUUUUCAAACAGCAGCCUCAUCCUGCAAAAGCUGAGUGUUUAGACGUGAGAUCUCAAAUUAACUAAGCUAUUAGAUAUUAUAUAGAAAGGAGUUUAUCCAUGUUUGUUCUUAAAUAUAUGUGCCACUUGUUAUAAACAUUGUAAUAAAAUUUUAUUUGAACCAUUUGUUGUUUUGCA
Molecule: long non-coding RNA, 1443 nt
Filed under: Crocodylus porosus (Australian saltwater crocodile)
Lineage: Eukaryota; Metazoa; Chordata; Crocodylia; Crocodylidae
Description: lncRNA (ENSCPRG00005017847.1)
Source: RNAcentral